AGAGUUUGAUCAUGGCUCAGAUUGAACGCUGGCGGCAGGCCUAACACAUGCAAGUCGAACGGUAACAGAAAGCAGCUUGCUGCUUUGCUGACGAGUGGCGGACGGGUGAGUAAUGUCUGGGAAACUGCCUGAUGGAGGGGGAUAACUACUGGAAACGGUAGCUAAUACCGCAUAACGUCGCAAGACCAAAGAGGGGGACCUUCGGGCCUCUUGCCAUCGGAUGUGCCCAGAUGGGAUUAGCUUGUUGGUGGGGUAACGGCUCACCAAGGCGACGAUCCCUAGCUGGUCUGAGAGGAUGACCAGCCACACUGGAACUGAGACACGGUCCAGACUCCUACGGGAGGCAGCAGUGGGGAAUAUUGCACAAUGGGCGCAAGCCUGAUGCAGCCAUGCCGCGUGUAUGAAGAAGGCCUUCGGGUUGUAAAGUACUUUCAGCGGGGAGGAAGGGAGUAAAGUUAAUACCUUUGCUCAUUGACGUUACCCGCAGAAGAAGCACCGGCUAACUCCGUGCCAGCAGCCGCGGUAAUACGGAGGGUGCAAGCGUUAAUCGGAAUUACUGGGCGUAAAGCGCACGCAGGCGGUUUGUUAAGUCAGAUGUGAAAUCCCCGGGCUCAACCUGGGAACUGCAUCUGAUACUGGCAAGCUUGAGUCUCGUAGAGGGGGGUAGAAUUCCAGGUGUAGCGGUGAAAUGCGUAGAGAUCUGGAGGAAUACCGGUGGCGAAGGCGGCCCCCUGGACGAAGACUGACGCUCAGGUGCGAAAGCGUGGGGAGCAAACAGGAUUAGAUACCCUGGUAGUCCACGCCGUAAACGAUGUCGACUUGGAGGUUGUGCCCUUGAGGCGUGGCUUCCGGAGCUAACGCGUUAAGUCGACCGCCUGGGGAGUACGGCCGCAAGGUUAAAACUCAAAUGAAUUGACGGGGGCCCGCACAAGCGGUGGAGCAUGUGGUUUAAUCGAUGCAACGCGAAGAACCUUACCUGGUCUUGACAUCCACAGAACUUUCCAGAGAUGGAUUGGUGCCUUCGGGAACUGUGAGACAGGUGCUGCAUGGCUGUCGUCAGCUCGUGUUGUGAAAUGUUGGGUUAAGUCCCGCAACGAGCGCAACCCUUAUCCUUUGUUGCCAGCGGUCCGGCCGGGAACUCAAAGGAGACUGCCAGUGAUAAACUGGAGGAAGGUGGGGAUGACGUCAAGUCAUCAUGGCCCUUACGACCAGGGCUACACACGUGCUACAAUGGCGCAUACAAAGAGAAGCGACCUCGCGAGAGCAAGCGGACCUCAUAAAGUGCGUCGUAGUCCGGAUUGGAGUCUGCAACUCGACUCCAUGAAGUCGGAAUCGCUAGUAAUCGUGGAUCAGAAUGCCACGGUGAAUACGUUCCCGGGCCUUGUACACACCGCCCGUCACACCAUGGGAGUGGGUUGCAAAAGAAGUAGGUAGCUUAACCUUCGGGAGGGCGCUUACCACUUUGUGAUUCAUGACUGGGGUGAAGUCGUAACAAGGUAACCGUAGGGGAACCUGCGGUUGGAUCACCU
This 1529-nucleotide ribosomal RNA is filed under the name Escherichia coli DEC9A. RNAcentral describes it as "bacterial SSU rRNA". It matches the Rfam family "Bacterial small subunit ribosomal RNA". The record is from RNAcentral. Lineage: Bacteria; Pseudomonadati; Pseudomonadota; Gammaproteobacteria; Enterobacterales; Enterobacteriaceae.